Molecule: ribosomal RNA, 490 nt
Filed under: uncultured bacterium
Lineage: Bacteria
Description: partial 16S ribosomal RNA
Rfam family: Bacterial small subunit ribosomal RNA
Source: RNAcentral
AUUGAACGCUGGCGGCAUGCCUUACACAUGCAAGUCGAACGGCAGCAUGAUCUAGCUUGCUAGAUUGAUGGCGAGUGGCGAACGGGUGAGUAAUACAUCGGAACGUGCCCUGUAGUGGGGGAUAACUAGUCGAAAGAUUAGCUAAUACCGCAUACGACCUGAGGGUGAAAGUGGGGGACCGCAAGGCCUCAUGCUAUAGGAGCGGCCGAUGUCUGUUUAGCUAGUUGGUGAGGUAAAGGCUCACCAAGGCGACGAUCAGUAGCUGGUCUGAGAGGACGAUCAGCCACACUGGGACUGAGACACGGCCCAGACUCCUACGGGAGGCAGCAGUGGGGAAUUUUGGACAAUGGGCGAAAGCCUGAUCCAGCAAUGCCGCGUGUGUGAAGAAGGCCUUCGGGUUGUAAAGCACUUUUGUCCGGAAAGAAAUGGCUCUGGUUAAUACCUGGGGUCGAUGACGGUACCGGAAGAAUAAGGACCGGCUAACUACGUG